CACAGCCAACUCUUCCACCCAGUUCUUACUUAAAACCCGUUCAACAAAUCGUACUCACAAUUCUCUCCCAGUACCUCAACUUUUCUAUAAUCACCGUUUCACCCCAAUCUCUCUGAAAUCAUUUUCAUUUUCGUUCCUCUGAUCACCAUAAUCACCUACUGCAGCGACAACCACCAUGUGUGGCGGUGCUAUAAUCUCCGACUUCAUCCCUCCCACCGCCGCUGGGCGAUCCCCGCGACGGUUGACGGCGGACUUUCUCUGGCCUGAUCUAAAGAAGCCCAUUGGGAAGCAGUACUCGAAGCCUGUUGUUGGCGAUCUUGACGAUGAUUUCGAGGCUGAUUUCCAGGAGUUUAAGGAUGAGUCUGAUGUCGAUGAGGAAGAUGAUGUCUUGCUUGAUGUCAAGCCAUUUGCUUUCUCUGCUACUGCUUCUCCUCCUCCUUGCAAUCGCAGUCUCUCACGUGGUUCUGCUGCAAAAUCUGUAGAAUUCAAUGGGCAAGCUGAAAAAUCUGCAAAGAGAAAGAGAAAGAACCUGUAUAGAGGAAUCCGGCAGCGCCCAUGGGGAAAAUGGGCUGCUGAGAUUCGUGACCCCAGGAAAGGGGUGCGUGUCUGGCUAGGAACAUUCAAUACUGCUGAAGAAGCUGCAAGAGCAUAUGAUGCCGAGGCACGCAGAAUUCGUGGUAAGAAAGCUAAAGUGAACUUUCCUGAUGAAGCUCCACGUGCUUCCAAGAAGUGUACAACUAAGGCAAACACUCAGAAACCACUUGCUAAGACAAAUGUGACUGAGAGUUUGAGUUACUUGAGCAAUCCAGAACAGGACUACUACAAUACCUUGGGCUUUGUUGAUGAGAAACCACUUGUGAAUCAGUUCGGUUUAAUGGACUCUUGUCCUGCCAAUGGAGAUGCUACAGUCAAAUCCAUUCCUCCGUGUGAUAAUGUCCCCAUGUAUUUCAAUUCUGAUCAGGGGAGUAACUCAUUUGAAUGUUCUGACUUUGGAUUGGGAGAUCAGGCCUCAAAGACUCCUGAAAUCUCAUCUGUUCUUUCAGCUACUCCAGAAAUUGAUGAAUCUCUGUUUAUGGAGGAUGCUAGCCCUAAAAAGCGGAUGAAGUCUGACUCUGGAAAUGUGGUUCCUGUAGAAGAAAACAAUGAAAAAUCUCUAUCUGAAGAGCUGUUGGCUUUCGACAAUCAGAUGAACUUUCAGAUGCCAUAUCUUGAUGGGAGUUGGGUGGCCUCGCUUGAUAGCUUCCUUAAUGGAGAUGCAACUCAGGAUGGUGGAAAUCCAAUGGACCUUUGGAGCUUUGAUGACCUCCCUAAUUUGGAUGGGGGUCUUUAUUGAGCGAAAUCUUAAUUGCCUGUUAGCUUCUGUAAAUAAGGCUACAUGUUAGGAUGGUUUUCUCUCUGAUAUGUAGUACAAGCACACCUGAACAUGCUUAAUCCUUUGUGGAGAGUGUUCUAGGAAGCUUUUGGGACAAUAGUAAAUAGAAGUUCAAAUGGCUUUUGUCUUCAUCAGACUUUCCCUUAUGCUUUGCUCCCUUUCAAGGCCUUUCCUUGACUUCUGUGACCUCAGUGUUCCUUCCAUAACAUUGAACCUAUUCCAUUUGCUUAUUUUAUUUGUUGAAGUGUUCUAUUUUCUUUACCCAGGUUGCUUAGAUCAAGACUCGAAAUUAGGAUAUUUUUAUUUUUCAUUUUUAAUUCCGAGACUAUUCUAUAUUGAAGUUUGACCAAGCCGCACAUAUAAAUCCUUUAGAGAGUUUCAAUGUU
This is an RNA transcript of Hevea brasiliensis (rubber tree), 1758 nucleotides long. It is a transcript of the gene named ethylene-responsive transcription factor RAP2-12, with no coding region annotated. The transcript is spliced from 4 exons. NCBI's taxonomy places the organism in Eukaryota, Viridiplantae, Streptophyta, Magnoliopsida, Malpighiales, Euphorbiaceae. The record is from RefSeq and is a predicted model, not a curated record.